UACGGAAGGCAGCAGUGGGGAAUAUUGCACAAUGGGCGAAAGCCUGAUGCAGCUAUGCCGCGUGUAUGAAGAAGGCCUUAGGGUUGUAAAGUACUUUCAUCGGGGAGGAAAAACAAAACUAAUAAUUUUAUUUCUUGACGUUACCCGAAAAAGAAGCACCGGCUAACUCCGUGCCAGCAGCCGCGGUAAUACGGAGGGUGCUAGCGUUAAUCAGAAUUACUGGGCGUAAAGAGCACGUAGGUGGUUUUUUUAAGUCAGAUGUGAAUCCCUGGGCUUAACCUAGGAACUGCAUUUUGAAACUGAAAUACUAGAGUAUCGUAGAGGGAGGUAGAAUUCUAGGUGUAGCGGUGAAAUGCGUAGAUAUCUGGAGGAAUACCUGUGGCGAAAGCGGCCUCCUAAACGAAUACUGACACUGAGGUGCGAAAGCGUGGGGAGCAAACAGGGAUUAAUACC
RNAcentral lists this ribosomal RNA (453 nucleotides) under uncultured bacterium. RNAcentral's name for it is "bacterial SSU rRNA". It matches the Rfam family "Bacterial small subunit ribosomal RNA", at positions 340 to 786 of the family's 1533-position model. The record is from RNAcentral.